GACGAACGCUGGCGGCGUGCUUAACACAUGCAAGUCGAACGGAAAGGCCCUGCUUUUGUGGGGUGCUCGAGUGGCGAACGGGUGAGUAACACGUGAGUAACCUGCCCUUCACUUUGGGAUAACUUCAGGAAACUGGGGCUAAGAUCGGAUAGGAGCUCCUGCUGCAUGGUGGGGGGUGGAAAGUUUCGGCGGGUGGGGAUGGACUCGCGGCUUAUCGGCUUGUUAGUGGGGGAGUGGCUUACCAAGGCUUUGACGGGUAGCCUGCCUGAGAGGGUGACCGGCCACAUUGGGACUGCGAUACGGCCCAGUCUCCUACGGGAGGCAGCAGUGGGGAAUAUUGCACAAUGGGCGGAAGCCUGAUGCAGCAACGCCGCGUGCGGGAUGACGGCCUUCGGGUUGUAAACCGCUUUCGCCUGUGACGAAGCGUGAGUGACGGUACUGGGUAAAGAAGCACCGGCUAACUACGUG
Molecule: ribosomal RNA, 468 nt
Filed under: uncultured bacterium
Lineage: Bacteria
Description: partial 16S ribosomal RNA
Rfam family: Bacterial small subunit ribosomal RNA
Source: RNAcentral